Molecule: transfer RNA, 64 nt
Filed under: Afissula kambaitana
Lineage: Eukaryota; Metazoa; Arthropoda; Insecta; Coleoptera; Coccinellidae
Description: tRNA-Thr
Rfam family: tRNA
About the family: Transfer RNA (tRNA) molecules are approximately 80 nucleotides in length. Their secondary structure includes four short double-helical elements and three loops (D, anti-codon, and T loops).
Source: RNAcentral
GUUUUAAUAAUUUAAUAUAAAAUAUUGGUCUUGUAAACCAAAAUUAAGAAAUUCUUUUAAAACA